This 468-nucleotide ribosomal RNA is filed under the name uncultured bacterium. RNAcentral describes it as "partial 16S ribosomal RNA". It matches the Rfam family "Bacterial small subunit ribosomal RNA", at positions 28 to 507 of the family's 1533-position model. The record is from RNAcentral.
GACGAACGCUGGCGGCGUGCUUAACACAUGCAAGUCGAACGGAAAGGCCCUGCUAUUGUGGGGUGCUCGAGUGGCGAACGGGUGAGUAACACGUGAGUAACCUGCCCUUGACCUUGGGAUAACUCCAGGAAACUGGGGCGAAUACCGGAUAGGAGCUUCUGCUGCACGGUGGGGGUUGGAAAGUUUCGGCGGUUGGGGAUGGACUCGCGGCUUAUCAGCUUGUUGGUGGGGUAGUGGCUUACCAAGGCUGUGACGGGUAGCCGGCCUGAGAGGGUGACCGGCCACAUUGCCACUGAGGUACGGCCCAGACUCCUACGGGGGGCAGCAGUGGGAAAUAUUGCACUAUGGGCGGAAGCCUGAUGCAGCAACGCCGCGUGCAGGAUGACGGCCUUCGGGUUGUAAACCGCUUUCGCCUGUGACGAAGCGUGAGUGACGGUAAUGGGUAAAGAAGCACCGGCUAACUACGUG